GCAUCAUCCGACUGAGCCCUGGGAGAUGGAGCAGAAGCAGCGAAGGUCAAGCUGACUGCUUUGUGGUCAGUGUGCAGGAGACAGGUGGCCGUGGUGUGGACUCUCGCGGUUGUGUAGAGAUGCAGAAGAAGAGGGAUUCCAGGAUACAGCUGGGACAGUGAACCCGUAGGGCUUGCUGAGGGAAACGGGAAAGCAGACACAUCAACUCAUCAAGCGUGAUUCGCUCGUCUCGGCUGGGGAGGGCUGGAGGAGGAUGUGCUAGACCGUGGGGCGACAGAGAGCCAGAGUCCAGCGUGGAUUAUAUUUAGCUGAAGAGGCCCAUAAGGUGCAUAAGUCGAUGUGACAAAGCCAAGCGGCGCUGUAGUGAGCGAGACUCUAGGCCAGAGAUAGAAACUUGGGAAGCGUCGGCAUAUGGGUGGUAUUUAAAGUCAUGACAGGGACGAGCUUCUCAAGAGAUGUGAAGGAAGGAGAAGCAACCCAGUGGAGCUCGGGAACUACUGGUCCACUGGAGGAGCAGUCCACAGGGAACCGGGAAGGAGAGGAGCACCCCUGGACGGCGGGGUCGGAGAACCCCAAAGAGCUCAGUGUCUGAAUCGGGGAGCCCAGUCAACUCUGCGAAUGCCACCAGAAGGCCAGGUCCGCGGCACACACAGCACGGAAACAGCGGAGCUUCGGGGCGAUGUGCGCUCGGGCGCGCGGUUCCGGCUGGAUUCCCACUCCUGAGGCUGAGACAGAAAAGUCUCCCGGAACCUGGGGAAAUAGAGGAAGACUCCUUCAGUCCUGAUGGUGAGGGGUAGAAAUGUCCAGCAGGAAUCACCUUUUGCUUUUUUUUGGUCUUUUUCCUUUUUAUCCGUACCGGGGAUCGAACUCACGACUGCCUGCUUGCAAGGCAGGCACUUAUGCCGCUGAGCUAAAUCUCCAGCCCCACCUUUUGCUUUCUUUAUAUUUAUUUUUUGUCUGCGAUCCUGAGACUGAACCCGGGACCUUCACUCUGAGCUAUGCACCAAACUCCUCCAUUUUUUUGAGACAGGAUCUCACUACAUUGCCCAGGCUGGGGUUGAACUUCUGAUCCUCCUGCCUCAGGUCCAGCGUCACAGGGUACACUUGCUGGGGUUAUAAAUCUGUUUAAGCAAAGCUCCUGGGGCAGGUUUGGGAAUAGCAUGCAGAAGUCUCAGGGCAAAAGGAACAUUGGCGGCGGGGCAAGCCUACGCUGCAUAAAAUGCACCUCACCGAGGGCUGGGAAUUUAGCUCAGCAGUGCAAGCACUUGCUGGUAGCAUAAGGUUGUGAGUUCCAUCUCCAGGACCAAAACAAAAGCAUCUCGUGGAAAACCGCAUUGCUGCCUACAAAUGCCUCAAACAUCACAUGUUGACCUUACUGCGUAGAUAAGCAAUAAGGAACAAUAUUGCUGAACUAAAGAGGACAUGGUUCCUGCAUCAGGGUGGGACAGGAGAGACGCCCCCAGGACUGCCUGGCUGCAGGCGGUGAGGGACAGGGCCACAGUCUGAAGACCGUUGGUGCCGAUGACUGCCCCAGCACCAGAUGGCACACAAACCAAGACACCACAUCAUCUGCAAGGCUGAGGGGCAGACAGGAGGGCACUGAGGGGCACAGAAGCCCUCUGGAUUGAGCGUGUGUUAGCCAACUGUGCCACCUGGCUUCCCACUUUCCCCUCCCGCUGUGCAAGAACCGUCUGCAAGGGUGCUGGGUGCCCUUGCUGGGUGCCACCCUCACCCCACGAGCCUGCCACUUCCUUCUCAUCAGAACUAAUUGUGAUGCCCACGUUUCUUGCACUGAAGAUGCCUAUGCCUUUCUCAUGUCCUGCACACCCCAGCUGACCUGUCCUGGGUCACAGGCCACUGCAGCCACUCUCCCAACGCAGUGCUCACCGCGCUCCUCUCUGCCUGGUCCCCAGCCCACCCACCCGGCUCCAGGACAUAGGGUGCCUUCUCUCUCCCGCUUCGGAGAACUGCACCUCCUUCAAGGGGAGCUCCCACUGCUACAGCCAGAGUAGCUCCAAAAGCCUCCUGCUUAUUUGGGUAUCUGUGGCCUCUCUGUGCAGUCAUCUCAUCAUCCACCGAGUCUUCGCCGAGUGCCAAGUGCCAGUGCCUCACUGGUGGAUUUAAAAAGGCACUGAGCCCCUUUCCUUCGGCUGCACAUCUCAAGGUGAGUCUAUAAUCUCUGAUUUCCAGGGCAAACUCAGGCUCACACAGCACGUGCCCGACUCCCUUCUAAGUGUCUUGAUGGGAAACAGCUACAUUGUAGCCACUUUUAUUUCCCACAUUCUGCACUUCUAAAAAGUGCUCAGUACGGAUCACCCUGGGUUGGUUUCCACGCCCGUAUCACUGACUGUGUUUUGCUUCCACUUUCCGAGAUUUCUACCACAAUAGAAGUGUUACACAAGAGCUAUCCUGUCAUCCACGUUCCGCCCAGUGGAGAAUUCUUGUUCCAGCUCACACCCAAUAUGGGGCAGACCUGGACACCUUUUGUGGGCUCUGCUGCUGAACACUGCCAGGCUUCCCCCGGGCCAGCCAAUUGUACGUUAGCCAGGGAGUUCAUCUCCUGCCUGCCCCUGUGAGUGUGCACUGCGGCCCCUCCAAGGUGCUCCUAGACACCUCAGCUUCCUGAGAAACCACAAACUCCCACUGGGGAUCCUUCCACUCUCCCCUGAUCCCUCUCACCACUCUCAGCCUCCUUCACUGAGGUCAGGAUGAGUCCUGCUCACCAGGAUCCAGCUUUGCACACAGUUCCGGAUCCACCCUCUCCUGUCUCCCCUUUGCUGGGCCUUCCUCCCUCCCAUAUCCCCUCUCUCAUCUGAAUCUUCAAACUCUGCCCUCUGCAGACCGUUUCGUGGGCCGUGAAGCCCUCUUCAUGGCCCCCAUUCUAACCAGACUUCCCCUCGCCCCUUCUCUGUGUCUCUCUGUAGCAUCCCGGCUACCUUUCUUCUUAUUCGCUUUUCUUUCUUUGAUUUUCACAGUGAUAAAACUAUUUUUCUGACUGCAUAAAAUAUGCAGUAAUUUUUUUAAAACAUUCAAUAAAUUAAACUCUAAGGAGGAGGGCAAAAAAGAUUCUAAAACCCCACCUCCCUGUGAUAGCUGCCGUUAAUAUUUGGGAACAUUUUUGCAGACUUCAAUCCAUGUGUCCAAGCCAGGUCAGCAGUGGUGGGAACACACUCAGGGCAUCACAUUCUCACAUCAGCUUUUCCAAAUGCAGUUUUCUUUCUUCCCUGUCCCAGCCCUUGCAAAUGGCAUCAUGCCCCACUUGGGGAUGUCAACACCUGGUCUGAGUCCUCCUGGAAAGUCUUCUUGCUCAUGCCAUUGCUGGGACAGAUGCGUGUGGGCAGUGUCAGGUGUGUGGAGUCUCUCCUGCCACCAGAACUGCAGUCGGCAGAGAACACCUUUCUUUCUCACUUAGGUAGGCUUCUGAGGAAUCACUUACUCACAUUUGUUUCCACGGGGGAUUAAGCUGAGCUAUCUUUAAUAGAAAAUCCAAGUAAGAGCAUUAGAGCAGGGACUUACUUCCUCCACAUAGAAGCAAGAUCAGAGAUGAGUGGUCCAGCACCAGCACAGUGGCCCCUCUGUCCCUUUCCCUGGCUGCUGUGAGUGUUCCCAUCUCUGUCCCUGCAUCAUGAACUCACCUCUGUGCUCUCAAGAUGACCACGAAGCCCAGUGAGCCAGUUAACAGCAAGCCUACUGGGCGGUACCACCCGCACCCGCUGUGGGCCUUGCCAGGACCAUGCUCGACGAGUCAGGGCACUAAUGUAGCUGUCACACACCCUUACACCCUAUCCAAGCACCCUUAGUCUCAGGGUCACACCAUGGAUCCAGCCAUCUCCAAAAGGCCCCAUCUGUGAGCACACGAGGCUUUGGGGGACACUGAGACACAAGUCAUAACGAGGACAAAGUUUCCGAUGGUACUGAAUUUACCUAAUGUAACUCAGAUGCUUCCUCUGACAUUGCCAGGUAAUGAAUCUCCCUUACAAUAGUGUUAGGUAGAUCUCCUUCUCAUUGACCAAAUCACCUGACAUGUGUAAUGCAAAAGACAGAAAUUUAAAAACCAUUUUAACAACUUUUGAAUUUUCUUUGCUAAACAUUCCCUUUCUUUCCCAUCCUUCCCACCUCCUGGUUUUUUGCCUCCAAAUUCUCAUAGGUCUGCUUUGAGAAUAAGUCAAUUAUCUGAACAUUUCUGAGAGCCCAGGCCAGCACCCGCUCAUUCACUGUCAGUCUUUGCUCGCCUCGCAGCUGGGCCAGGCUGCUCACGGCAGUGCCCGCAAGUCCAGGGCAGGACCGGUCCUGUGUGCUGGGCCCCACUCUGUCUUCACUGUCCUCACUGCAUGCAUGCUGUGCCUGUGCCACCCAACAGUGCGAUGAUUUAUAUCAACUUUGGCUUUUCCCUCCUAUCUCCUUUAUAUGAGCGUGAAGUACCAGGAAAUCCCCAUUUCUUCCGUUGAAGCUGACCAAGUUUUCAGCAACUUCCGUACUGCCUGUUUAAAACAGCAAAGUGUAAGUGUUCUCUGCGGAUUGUGAGACCCUCCGUUAAUUUAACUUGAUUUAACUCCGUUGGCGACAGUACAGGAAGGGACAGCUCCCCAGCAGGUUCUCUAGAAGGUUAGUGAGUGUGGCGCUGUGGUUCCUAGAGGGGCUUUUGCUUCUUCUGAAUGGCCUGCCCUGACCCUGUUCUCUGACAGGCAUAAGGGAAAGACAAGUUUCUACCUUCAAGUAAUUGUAAAAUGUAACCAUGCUUUGUUUUAACUUCUUAAAUUAUGACUUUUCUUCCAAGCCCUCUGGCUGGCGACCUUGAGUUAUAUCUCAUGAUGUAUACGUUUGGCACGUGAAACCAGACGCUCGAGAGGUUUAUACUUUCUUUGUAAGCAGGCCAUUUAGUGUUUGAUUAUCAUUUAACAUCACAGAUGAAAAAUGAAUUAGUGGUAUCAGGCCAUGUUUCCACCACAGCCAUUAAUGGGAGCCGGGCUGCCACAGACGCUGCGGGAAGCUAAAUUCAAGCUUUGCUGGUGUGGGCAUCCCUGAGGCAGAGGACAAUGUGGUGUAAGUGGAAGGAGGCCAGCGUGUGGCCUCCACAAGCACCCACUCCCUGUUGGGAUGCAUCCAAAGGUCAGGAGUGAAGCAAGGUCGCUGGCGGCCACUGUCACUCCCCAGGCCCGCUGCCUGAGUAGCCGCUGGGCCCCAGGACCUGAAGGACACGUGUUCUACACACUGCAUUCCGUGAAACAGGAGAAACAUUUGAAUGAGCCAGAGACACAGUGGACACACAUCGUUAAUCAGAGUGCUACACAAGUCUGAUGCAAGUUUAAGGACCACUGACUGCACCCAUGCAAGUAGCUCCUUGUAUGUGGUCUUGGAAGACACCAUGAACCAGGCGAGCUUAGAAAAGAGUACAGCAAAAGCUGCAAGAAGCCAGAGAGGCCAGAAGAGGACCAGGACAUCAGAGUGCUCACCAUCGGCAAGGAGCACAGUCAAAGCUCCUGACUAUGCCUGAGACGCUGUGCGCACCUGUUUGGUGGGACCUGGAAGCGUGGUAACCAUAACGGUGAGCAUGAGGCAGAAACUGUACCCCAGAGGGAAGGCCCUCUCAGAGCCCAGAGCAGGACCUGCCACCAACAGUUACUCCAUAAAAGCACGGUAAGUGGAAAGACGCGUGACUUCUAACUUUGGUAGACUGCCUACCACACAACAGGUACUGUGCCGAGUCCUGGUCCUACUGGACAGAUUGUAUCUUUCAACUCUAAAAUCCAGGUUUUAUCACAUUUGUCACAUGAGGAAGUCAAGGAAUAGAAAAGGCAAACCCAAGAUCGAAGAGCUAGACAGCGGGAAAAUGAGGAUCUGGGUGGAGAGCUGUGCCUUGGUUUUUGUAUUAACACUUCUUCGGUAUCUUUCCAUCCGAACCAGAACAAAGCGGGUCCCAGUAGGCAGAAGGCGAAGUCCAGGAGGCAGAGCUCACCCGCUCUGAAGCCCUGACUCCAGAGCUGACCGCCUGGCCCUCUGCUGUCCCUCUCUCUGCCCUCUGCCCGCCGCUCUCCAGGGGCUGCACCCACCACCCCCUUCUGCAUGUUUAUUUGCUUUGGAGCAGGCAUUGUCUGUGGUCAUUGACCCAACUCAUUUGCAAAUAUUACAGUGUCUUUAGGCAUCUUCUUUGGGGUGGUCAGCCGGCAAGGCCAAGAGCUCCAUGUGUUAUUUAUCAAAGCAAAAUUACAUGGCUAGCAAAAAGCAGCACCAAAAUUACAGAGAUGCGUGCAUCUUUCGGCCGUACCCACAGGGCACUGUUUUUCUUCUGAAAAACAGGUAUUUGUUCACAUCAUGUUAUGCUGUGAAAUAAAAAAAAGAAUCUGGAAUUUAUAAUCUAAUAGACUGGAAAUAAUUAUGGACAAUGAAGUAAUAAUGUCUAUUUGUUUAUGCUUUUCCAUAUGUAACUUGACCUACAUGUUUAAAAAUAUAAAUUUAUUUUAGCAUUUAUUUGUAAUUGUACCAUUAUUUAUGUUUCUGUCAAGUGAUUUUUCGUUAGUGCUCUUUUAUUUUGGAUAAGAUUAUUGACAAGCCAAUUCUUACAUGAAAGCCAAAAGCAUGGAGUGCAUGUAUAUUAAGUUUCUAGUGCAUAGCUGACAUUCAGAUAACCAGUUUUUUACAAAGUAUCAUUGUUACACAUUCACUGCCAUAGCACAUUAGUUCUUCAUGAUCAAACAUUGGUCGUGCGGGAUCCGUCAGCCGUUGGAAGACAUGCUUGGUCCGGCCGUGCCUGGUUCCUUCUCAUUGUGUGGCUGCAGCAGCAGAGACUGAGAGAGAAGCUUCCGAGGCCAAGGCCACCUCCAGGAAGGUCAGUGUCCCCUGCCCCUGAGAAGGCCCAGCAGAAAGAAUGGAAAAAUACCCUAAACUUCUAUGCACACCUUGACACCAGAAAUGGAUAUGUCCCAAAGGAACUUAACUACUGCUCUGUUCUGGGACGUGAAUUCACAAACAGAUGUUCUCAGGAAUCACUGCAAGGGGCACAGUACUCUCCCUCUGCCUCGGAUCUGGAUACCCUGUUUGGCCCCCCAAUUCUCCUCGGCUUCGGCUUUCUCAAGCACCUUGGGCUGCAUUUAUCACUGGUGUUCAGACUUUACUGUAACCCAAGUGGAAGUCCUGAGCAGAGCUCUCACAUCCCCAAGAGAGCACCAGGCCUGUGGAAAGUGCCCAGGCCGAUGAGCGAACCCCACCAGGAAGGGCGGGCAUCCUGGGGGGAGGGGCGGCAGCAGGUGCAGCGUCGUGGCUGGCGUGAGAACCAUCUGCGCUCAGCAGGUGCGCACCUGGGAAGGAAGGAGCCAGAGGAAAUAGCUCCAACACUCUCCCGUCAGGGCCUGCCAGCCUCAGCGCUCCUCUCGCCGAGAGCGGCACAGAGGAGGAGAGUCCCCGUCCCCACCACAGUGGGGAUGGCCCGGACAGUGGCCCAACCCAGGGCGACUGGGAGCAUCGAAGCCGGUCCUUUGGGCCUGGGCAGAAUGAGUGAACCGGACACCCCGGCCUGACCUGCACCCACCGUGUGGCACAGCCCCUGUCCUUUGCUGUCACUGAAAAGCCAAGAUGGCACAGGCGGAUCACAGAGGGAGAAGUCAGUGUGUUCACAUGUGUGACCCCACCAGACAUGCACCAUCGGCCGUCACAGCGAGCCACCAAACUGUGACGAUGAAAAUGUUAGAUGUCUGACUUUAUAGGUGGGAUUGAGAAGGACCAUAUAGUGGUCUAGAAACUGUUCAAAAUGAGAGAAAUGGUAACAGCCAUGUCCACUUGGAGACGGCUGCCUUUUACCCUUCAGUCAUUACAGGCAAUCUUUACAGUAAGCAGACUACUUGAGAAAUUACUUAAACCAGUUAGGCAACAGCUUCUUGAGAAACAGCAGUGAGUCACUGUUUGGUCUAUUAUUUUUAUAUCUUAAAUAUUAUAUAUAUAUUAUCUAUAUAUUAUAUGUAAUAUAUAUCUAUAUAUUAUGUAUUAUAUAUUAUAUAAAUAUGUAUUUAUAUAUAUAUUCUAAGACUCCCUGGUGGCCACACCAUCAUCUAUGACCCCUGCUUACCCUCUAAGUCCCCUAUGUGGCCCAUAAAGCAGUGCGUGCCACGUGUGCCAAGGGUUUGAAGCAAAGAGCAUCCUCCUGCACAUAACUGCUGGGAUUCCUCCCUCCCGCAGACUACAGUUGUUUUCUCUCAGAAUUGGGGAGGUGAAAUACUGAGGGUUACCAGAGACUCUGAAGGUCUUAGCCAGACGAGUCAAGAAGCUCCCCGCAUGAAGGCAACAGAAUCAGCCCAGUGAGCAGCGUUAGCGGGAGAAAAGCUCAGAAGGAAAACACCAGAUUUGUGGAUUGCAUUCUAGCGCCAUGGAGAUUUCUGAAACACACAAGCCCUGGUGCAUGUGAGAGAAACCUGCUGAGCCUUCAGGAGCUUACCAGGACCACGACCCCAGGAUCCCAGAUGUUUCCAUGACGUGUGCAUCAGGGGAGAUAGUCAUAGUAUGAAUGCUAGGGACAUCCAGAUAACAACCAUGUCCUGGUCCUUCAAGAACGUCUUAGAAUCUGAUUCCCUUCUCCGGCCUACCAAUCAAAAAAAAAAUUCCAUGACCUGCCUUGCAUCUGUUGUUUUUAAAAUAACUUCAUAAUAAUGUACAAUUUCUAUUCUUAUUUUGUUGAAACCACUGGCAUUUCCCCAACCCGUAAACAAAAACAGCAUACUAGAAACCACCAGACAUCAAGUAUGCAAUUUUCUUCCCUAAUACUCGGUCUAAAGAAAGGCUCCCUGGCACACUGACUGUCACCGUGGAGCAGGCAUUCGCAUGCUGUCACUGCCCGGUACGCGGUGACGUUCCUUUCCAGCGAGUCACAUUGUGAGGUACUGUAUAUUUUUGUUGCUAAAUUUAUUAACAUAUAUUUAUGGGCUUAUAGUUAUACAGUUUUUCUUGUGGUGUUUUUGUGUCCAGACUAAUUCUUGCUAAUUUUCUUUUGUUUUUCCAAGGAGUAUUUUUGUCUUCCCAAGCCUCAAGAAUUGUGUUUGAUGUGGUUAUCAAGAAGUAAUCCCAAAGUUUUGGUACCCUUAGGAAUAAAUCCCUAGUGUGCGUUAUCCAUGCGCCUUCCGAGGUUCCUGCCCGGGAUUCAGUCCCGGGCAUUCGAAAUGGGGCGUCAAAUAUAAUUAAUGUGUCUGGCCACAAGUUUAGCACACCCCCCAGCUUCAGGGUCAAAAGGGUGGGACAGGAAAGCAGUGACCAUCUUUCACCGAGAAAAAGGUGCAGUCGUGAAAGCCACACACUGGGGGCCAGCGGGAGCGGGAGCAGAAGCUUUUGUGUGAGAAGAUGUGGAUUAGCGAUUUAUAUAAAGUGACUUAACCUCUCACAACCUUUUCUACUGUUAGAAGAAUUAAAUAAAGUAUGUUUGCUGUGCCUGUAUAUUUGCCACAUAAAGCAAAUUGAUGUUAAAUAAAACAGCGGGUUGGUUACUGUGCACACCCAUGGGUGUGUUAUUUGUAGAUCUGCACGCUUUCACAGAGCAAGCUGUGCUUACACGCCGAGGCCUUAGUGAGCAGAAUGCUGUGAGACCUGGGUUAGAUAAAGUGUAGAAAGGCCUUAUUUUCCUAUUAAAGUCAGUUAUAUUCAUGCAUCAUUGCUAAAUAGGAAACUGGAAAUUCACUCAACGUCAAGAAAAGCUAUUUAGCCACUGAUGGUUCCCAUUUCGUCUCGAGUGGUCUGGCAGGAAACUGGCAUAUCACUUGUUGGCAAAUUUGAAUGGUAUUAAAUUGAACAGGUAAAAAAUAGGCUUGUGAAUUAACAAAUUAAAUUUGCAAUCUGCAUUUCCGAAUAGCGCGGACUGAGGAAUGCUGACGUGAUUUCCUGAAAGCAUGAGGAUUCACCGCAGCGCCGCGUCCUCUCCCAAACCAGCCCUGGGUCCGGCCCUCUGCCUGGCCCGCGGGCAGCAGGUGAGCGGCUGAGGCCACUGGCCUUGGCGUCCUCGGUGUCCGGUCUCGCUUCCGACUCACAUCUGUGCUUGGAUCCCAGCUUCUGUUUGCCGAGCUGGCCACUCUCUUGUCUCUCCAGCUUUCUGCUCAGCCAUCAGCCCCGCUCGGCCCACAGACCGGACCUCACCCAGGGACACAGCUGCUGCAGACCGGCGCCACUCCAGGCCAGGGCUUUGUUCCCAAGUGUUCUCUACCCUCUCUACCAUGGCUCCCGCCCACUGGCUUAGCUCAGGGGUUCACAGCGGGGAGCACAGCAGCUGCCCUCUCUAGAGCCAGCCGCCGGCCACCCGGGACACGCCACACACUGCGCUCCUCCUGGGGCGGCCCCCUCUCCUCUUGCCGUGGUUAGGUCCUCUGACACCUGCUCUCCUCUCCCAUCCGAAGCGCACUGUCAUUCUAGAUGAGUAUGUCGACGUGAUCAGCUCAUUGGCUCUUUAUUUUUGAUCAGCUGCCAACCAAAUCCAGACAAACGCCGUGUUAGAGGUGUCCGCCUUUCACACAGUGAGCAUCAGAGAGAAGGCGACAGUUUUCUAAGCAGGAAAAACUCCUGUCACAUUCCGGUCCUGCAGUCAGAUGUAACACACUUUCAUCACGGUUCCCUAAAGCCAAGCAAACUGAAGCAGCCUGCGCCUUGGGUGGGUGACAGUGUGCAGAUGCUGCCUGAGCACGAAAACAUUCAUGGGAAUGAAAUGAAAAUCCACCACUGGAGCCCCGGCUGGAGACCCUUCCCUUACCCUGGGCUGCGUGCUGCCUAGAAGCUGCUCACCCCCGACCCUGCCCGUCCAGGUGCUCCUGGAAAAACCGGCAAUCAAGGGAAGGAAAGGCUUCUCCACACGCAGAAACUCAAGCCCACUGAGUCCGCCGUCCUGACCCCAGUGCCUUGAAGGAGCUGAGCACUGCAGCUGCCACUCGGCCAGCAGAGAAGGUGCUCUGGGAGCGGCGCAGGAGGCAGAGGCAGAGGCAGAGGCGGAGUGGGCCAGUAGCAUCAAGGACCCCAGUGUCCCCCAAGCCGGUCUGCAAGCACGCAGCAUGUGAAUACUUGUUCUGAUGUGGGCAAAGCGCUCUGCGUAUUCAUUCGGGCUGGCGAUGGGAGCCAGGGCCUCCCGCAUGGUGCUCUCCCACUGAGCAGGACCCCCACCCCUGUCCGUGUCUUCCCAUCAAACUAUCAAACUGUGGACAAGUAGCCACUUCCUGCUGCAUGCUGGAUCUGUGCGCCCACGGAGACACUGUCAGUCAGGCGCUCGGUCCCGGCAGAGGGGACUGGCCUCAGCUUCAUGGCCCCACGCCACCACUGGGGCAUGGAUUUCAGAGACGUCUCUCCAUGUUCCUCAAAGGUUUUCUGCAGCCAGAGAGGAAUCGGUGGGAAGAGAAACCGACCACCAAGCACAAGUCUUCAGCCCAGGCAGGCCACACACGCAAUGUUUAUAAGCAUAAGGGAGUGCUCACGCUAUCGUCAACCCUCAGGUGGGGUGUCCGAAAAAUCAGGGUGUCCUCCACCUCUCAAAAAGUGCCCCAGUCUGCAGGCUGUCAGUACUGAGCAUGGGAAGCAGAGAGGGGCUGAGGCUUCCUAUGAGACUGCAAACCUAGACAAAGGCACAUAGGAGAGCAUCCGCUUACAUUUCAUUAUAACGGUAUUGAAAAUUGUAUUUCCAAUAAAUGUCUUUUUAAUCCUGUUAAAGUAAAUGAUUCACAGGAUGUCUGCCAUGUCAUUUCUGAUCAGCCCAUGGCUCCCAGUCCCGAUUCCAGGUCCCAAGUGUACAGACUGUGACCAGAUGGAUGAGGGGGUUGGAGAUGGGCGGAUGGACAGAUGGACGAUGACCGGCUGUGAUUGAUGUGGUUUGGGUACAUUUCCCCCUACCAUUUAAUCCUUUGAUACUGCAAACCUCCCACUGCGGUCUGAAAUGUACCCUCUGACAUGGGUCAGGCGCUUUGUUCCGUCUCUAAGAACUCUGAUUUCAUUGUUUUCUUGUGAUUCUUCCACUGUCGCCCAGUGCACCCAGGCUUCUGGAAUCCGCAGCUCUCAGCAGGGGCGUGCCGAGCCCUGGCUGCACCUCCAAGUCCCCCCCACUUCGAGGCCCCGCCCCAGCCUCCCUCCCUCCUCCACCUGUGGUGGGAAUCACACCACCAGAACCCCAACUCUGCUCCCAGAAGCUGCCUCUGCCAGUGCUGCCAAAUGAUGAAGUGACAAUGGCCAGCCACAGCCAGGCCUCCAGGGGCUCCUGAUGUACCAGGAGAGGGCAGUUCCCUCCGGCCGGGGUCGGCGAGGACCUGGCCAGCGUCACUGGGCAGCCAUGCAGGGUGACACACAGAAAAGCACCAUUCCCACCAAAUUUCAAAACUGCUAAGCUCAGUGAAAAUGGCAUGAGCUGAACAGGAAGAGGGGCCUCGUACGUAAUUCAGAGUACAGCCCUGGCAGCCCCCUGAAGGCGUGGUCAUCUCUCUGAGCCACACGUCAGCUGUGUGACCUUGAGCACAUUACUCACUGUCUCUGUGCUCUCACUACUUCUGCAGGGUGAGUGUGACUGUGCCCACCUCGUAGAAUUACUGAGGGAACGAGGUUCCACAAAAUACUUAGAGUAGCACCGGGCACAUAGUAAGUACUCAGGAAGAGUUGAGUGACUUUAUUUAUUUAUUUAUUUAUUUAUUUAUUUAUUUAUUUUGGUCUUUUUGGGACAGGGUCUCACUAUACAGUGCAGUCUGUCCUUGAGCUCACUUUGUAGCCCAGACUGGUCUCAGACUCAAAGGAUCCUCCUGCCUCAGCCUCCCAAGUGCUGAGAUUAUAGGCGUGCACCACCAUGUCUGCCUGUUGAGUGACUAUCGACACUCACAUUACUAUUAAGAACAUUGUUAUUGAUUUUGAAGGAAGAACAUAAAGGAGAAUAGGAUUAAGAACCAUCAGAGGAGCUCAGCAUGAGGACGGAGAAAAUCUGGUGCCUUCAACCCCUGCUCUGCUAUCAUGAUGGGUCGAAUUCAAAUCCACUCCUCUACCCUACAUAUAGGGAGGAAAUCAUGACCAAAGUAGCUUACCAAAACCCCAAAGCAAUAUGUCAAUAGCAAGCUUUCUGUUCUUUCCUAUGAACUGGUCGUUUUCUGCAACUGCUUAAAAACUAAGAAAAAUACUCCAUUGUCUUUGAAUGAAGGCCUAGAUGUAUUUUUAACUCAUUAACAGCUUAUAUUAUCUUAGAUUAACACUACAACUAAAACUUUCUCUAACGAAGCAGCCCGUUCCCUCCCAACCACAGUACGCCCAGCUCUAACCCGUCUCCACUGAAGCCCCACUUUAUCCCUAAACAGAUGCUGAGAAACCGGCUCGUGCUCCCUGACACAAAAGUCUACUGCCCUAUUCUAAAAGCUGCACGGCUGGCGUGCGAGCACGAGUUUGCUUUCCGUGUCACGAGGUCUGUUUUCGGGAGGCGGAGCCCUCACACUCUGCUGUUCUGUUCUGUGCCGCUCCUCACUCGAUGGCUCUGUGACUCGGAGGCUCCUGAUCGGUUCCACCACGCCACGCCACCCCGAUAACCCAAUUUCAGACGCUUCGAUUGACCGCUGCCGCUCAUCUGAGUACUUGGGCAUCUCCUAGUGUCACAGGCACAACAGAAACCUGGCAUCAUUCUUCCUGUCACACAGCCUGCGUUUUAGCUGGAAAAGGCAGACAGCAAGUAAAAAGCAGACCUGUACCAGUGGUGAUAGGUUUUAAAGAAAAGUUAGGACAGCACCGAACUACCACCUAAAUAAAAGGAAAGAAUAAAAUACAUAAAACUCUGAUUUAUUGUCCUAGGCACCAGUCCUGUCAUCCAGAAAAAAGCCCUGGCUUCUCGCAGCUUCUGCCAAGUAGUGGUUAAGUAUCCCGCGGCUUUAGAGCCGUGGGGAUGAGCAGUCCUCUACAGAAGAUCAGCAGAGGAGGCAGCACGGUAACGACGGUUCCAGCUCUGCCGCACGACUCUGGACUUGGCCGGGGCCAGCAGAGAGCACACACCCUGAGCCUGGCCGCAGGGAGCAGCUCAGCACUCAGCCGAGCUGACAACGGGCAGAAGGUGUUCGGAGAGUACAAGAUCAGGGAACAGCAAAUCUCCGAGCCCAGGGCCCUAACUUCUUGGGUGUAAGAUAUUGGAAAAGUUACACAGCCUCUGCAAAUCGCAGUCGCCUUAUCUGUGAAAUGGGACAAGUAAACACACAGAGGCGUGUGAAGGCAGUCUUCCGCCAUCGGGAGUCUUGGUCUCUGUCUCCUCGGCUUCUCUGGUGCUUAGGCGGAGCAGCAUCACUGUUCACAGGACGACACAGGCACCUCGGCUGCGCUGGCGGCCACACCGCAUCCCUGACACACGUCUAAUCCGGACAGACGGGAAGGCAGAGGAGAGCGGAAGGGACGGGGCUGUGACCAGCCACUGCUGCAAGCACCCCAAAUCUCCCACCAAAUAAGACUUUUACAGAUUUUUCCUACUCAGAGUAAAAUUUGUUCCGGUUCAAGAAAGUCCACUCAAGUCGGCGGUGCUUUAUCUGCCUCUCGCCGAGGCGGAGAGGGCUCAGCAUCCUCUCCUGAGACCCGACUCCCGUCAGCCCCAGACACUACCAAUCUCACAACAAACAGACUUGCUCACUGUCCAGCAAACCUCGCACCGGGUGUUUAGGAACAGUCGAGACACCAGUGUGCGCAGAAUCUGUUAAAGCGAACACCGAGGCCAGGUGUGAGAUGACCGAGGAGCGAGUUCACACCAGAAAACAUCUUCAAGGCACAGGAGACUGGACACGAUCUGUGUCCAAGCAGAGAGCCAGGGACCAGCCGGGAGGAGUCUCGGGGCCCCUGAGCGGCUGGGGCUCUCAUGCUGAGACGCGGACGGGGUGAGCUCUGAGCGGGCUGUCACUUGACUGUGGCCGGUCUGAUGUCCAGGUGUAAGUGAAGGGGAAGGAUGACCGGCCAAGUGGUGACAGAGGCUCCCGUGUCUUCUGAACCAAAGCGUUGGCCUGAGAAAACCCCCUUCCUAGCAGGGCAACCUGAUGUGAGGGGUUGGUGGGGUGGCGGCUACUGAGGAGGUCCGCAGGCCCAUGUCUGGUGGGGAAGGAAGCUGAGCGUGCACAGAGGUUUCUCAGAGUGUGGGUGGCACUGAGAUCUGGAGAGGAGAGGGGCUGAAGUCCCCCUGCACAAGCACAGCCAGAGACCCUUUCGGGUAGAGAGCACCAGGGGCAAAGAGACAGCAGACCCGGUGGGAGGGCAGCUCUGCGGGAAGAGGGGGAGCCCCCGGGGUGGACGGGGGCUGUGCCAGGCCGCAGGGCCCCGGGGCCCCCAGGCCACAGCCCCACCUGCCACCCAGGAGGCUCUCCCAUGGGGCGGGCGAGAGCGGGCCACACACAACCUCACAUGCAGUCUUCACCCCCAUUAGAGAUAAGCUGUUUACAAGCUCUGGGGUGGGCACAGAAUUCCAAGCUCUGCGGUUCCUCUCCCCAAACGUAAUCACCCUCCACACCCUGCUCUCUGGGAGCCCUAGAGGCAAAGGGACAGCCAGGCUUGGGCACAGUCAUGAAAUCUGGGUGCUGCAAAUGCACCCCAGCUCCAGAAGCACAGGAGGGGAGGAAGAGGGCGGACUAGCAGGGCCUUGCACAGUGCGGUUUGUGCCUUUUUAUUAACAUCCUCAGGAAUCCGAAAGUCCGCGUGAUACCUAAGAGGGAUUUCUUCUGUCUCAAUUAUGCCUCUACGUUUUUUAAAGAUGAACUAUGAAUUCUUUUUUAAACCGAAUGCUUUGCAGAAAUAAUGAAUAUUAACUACAUCUCAGAGCCGCAGAAAAGACGCCUAACUAGGGUUUCUUUGUGGCAGCUGAGCAGUGCCCUCUACAGGCGGCCGGCGGCGACGCAGCGGACCAAGGUGUGCAGGAGAAGUAGGCGCGGGCCCAGCUUGCUGCCCCGUCCGGCCUGGCCCAGGAGGCCGGAACCUGGCAUGGCGUCACCUGCACCCCACCACCACCACCUACUGCCUCCCCUGGCGAAAGCAUCUCGGUUUUAGCAAAAUCUGCUUUUGCUGUGAGUCUGCUCCACACCACCAUUUGAAUGUACAUGAAAAUAACAGUAAAAACAAGUACAUUUGUUCUGCUAUGCAAAAAAACACCUGUACCCAGGGUACCCAGGGCCAGAAGUGAUUUGCAUCUGAUGUGUUAGCAACGUAAAGAAAAAAGAAAAUGCAAUAUAUUCAUUAAAAUGAAGUUAGGUGAGUUGUAGGCAGAAGAUCAUUUAUUCCAUUUUAUAAAACUCCAUCGCUAAAACUGUUAAGAAUUUUAAACAUAAAAAUCACUAGAAGGCAUGAAAAUCAUUUCUUACAGUUAUCAAUAAAUUUUAAAAUAACCCAUAAGUUUAUAUAGGCAUAUAUCAAACAAUAUGACCACGCUGAUGUUUAGUAUUAUUCAUUGUAUGAAAUGCAUUUUACUGAGACAGAAAUUUUUACAGUGUGUCAGCUAAUCAAAGCUUUAAAAUUCUGUGUAUAAUGAUAAAUUCGAGUUUCAUUUUCCGUCGGUAAGUCAAAGAUGUGGCAAAAUAUGUAUCAAAAUCUCUAAAUAUUUUAUUGGAGUGGUUUUGAAUGCUAAUAUUUGACCAGUUUAAAUGUACUACAGUUUUUGGUGUCUGCAGCUAUUAAAUUAAAACCCAGAAUUACAUGAAUGUUUAACAAUGGACAGAACAGUAUUUAUCUAAAUUAACAGCCUUUACAUGAACUUUGAAUAAAUGCAGAUCUUUGGAAAACUACUUUUAACAUCAUUAAAUAUUCAUUUAGACUCAAUUCCACAUACAUUCAUGAGAUACACAUAAAUGUAUGUGAUUAAAUUGAUAAAUUAUACUUACAAGCCUUUUCAUAAAGAAUGUUUUUCACACACAGAAAUUAGAGAUUAGUUCCUGGCUUGAUUUGUUUUUCUUAUGAAAUUUAAUAAAGUAUAACACUACAUAUAUAUAUUUUGCUUAUAAUUCUUAAAAUUGCAUAGUAAUGAUAUUAUAAAAUUUAUUCUUCUUUGUAGGUAAUGAAAGCCAAUAUACUUAGAAAUAUUGCUUGACAUAUUAAUCUCUUAGUGUUUGUGUUAUUGACCUAAUAUUCCCAGCUGUCUCCUUCGCACCUUCUACUAUGUAUGUGAACUUUUCAGAUCUUAACAACCAGUAUUUGUGGAAUUGCUUGCUAAAAAAAUUAGUGUACAGACUCUACAAAUGUACAUUCAUAUUUAGUUAACCUUUUAAAUUCAUUCACUCACAUUACAGACUCCUUGAAAAAUGUAACUUAAAAUUAAAACAUUUUAAACUAUGAAAUAAAA
Long non-coding RNA from Cavia porcellus (domestic guinea pig), 17260 nucleotides. RefSeq lists it as uncharacterized. Lineage: Eukaryota; Metazoa; Chordata; Mammalia; Rodentia; Caviidae. The record is from RefSeq and is a predicted model, not a curated record. The transcript has 4 exons.